GGCAGUGUGGCUUAGUGAAUAGAGCAUGACCCUGGAAGUCAGAAGGUCCUGGGUUCUAAUCCUGCUCUGCCA
RNAcentral lists this transfer RNA (72 nucleotides) under Ornithorhynchus anatinus (platypus). It matches the Rfam family "tRNA". From Rfam's summary of the family: Transfer RNA (tRNA) molecules are approximately 80 nucleotides in length. Their secondary structure includes four short double-helical elements and three loops (D, anti-codon, and T loops). Further hydrogen bonds mediate the characteristic L-shaped molecular structure. tRNAs have two regions of fundamental functional importance: the anti-codon, which is responsible for specific mRNA codon recognition, and the 3' end, to which the tRNAs corresponding amino acid is attached (by aminoacyl-tRNA synthetases). tRNAs cope with the degeneracy of the genetic code in two manners: having more than one tRNA (with a specific anti-codon) for a particular amino acid; and 'wobble' base-pairing, i.e. permitting non-standard base-pairing at the 3rd anti-codon position. Lineage: Eukaryota; Metazoa; Chordata; Mammalia; Monotremata; Ornithorhynchidae. The record is from Rfam by way of RNAcentral.